GAAACAAUAAAUUUUGAAAUACAUAUAAUAAUUCACGCGUAUUUCAUAUAUAUUUUUAAUUUUUAUGAUUGUAAUACCAAUUUUUUCUGCCCGGGCCUAUACAAAAUAAAAUACAGCAGGCCCAUCUACAGACCAAACCCAUAUUCAAAAAAAACCUAGCCUAAGAAGCAGCAAGCUUCAGCCGCAUGCCCAACAGCAGCCUCCCUAACUGCCGUCGCAUCCUCCGCGCACGUACACCUCUUCCACGGCCUCCAUACCUACGAGAAAAGCGGAUCCAAACAGCAAUAGACGCAACAAAUAAUGAAAUAGGAUUUUUUACUUUUAUUUUGCUGUAAUUUUGGCUAUAAAAAGCCAUCAAAAAUCUGUAAAAUGGGGGGAACCAAUAUUGUAUUGAGAGAAUACUGAAAUACAAAAAUAGGGAGAAAAUAUUGAGAUUACAAAGAGAUUUUUGAAGGUGAAUCGUGUUUAUUUUUUUCCAUUUUUUCCAUUCUUUUUUAUUUUAUUUUUUAUUUAUUUUUAAUUUAAAAUAUAAAGAAGGGAGGAAGGACUUACCUCUCUCGCCGGAUUCGUAUAUAUAUUUAUAUAUAUAAAAAAUAUUUCUCUAAUACAUAUACAUAUUUUUAUAUAUAUAUUGUUAUUAUUUCUUUUUUAGCUUUUAUAUACAUAUAUACGUAUAUACAUUUAUAUUUCUAUUAUAUUUAUAUAUACAUUCUUUUAAAAUUAUUAUAAACAUUUUAUUGUUCUACACAUUCCAUUAUUUUCAUAUUGCACCUAUAUAUAUAAGUAUCUAAAUAAGUACAUAUUUUCAUGAUUGACCUACUUAUAUACUCAUACAUUUUUAUUUUGUAAAUAUAUGCACGUAUACAUAUGUUUUUUUAUUUUUAUCUUCACAAUUUUCACAUACAUAUGUACAUGCAUAUUAUUAUAAGUUUUGUUUUGUAUAUUUCAUUCCCUUUUAUGUACACUUAUAUUUUUUAAAAUGUAUGCAUAUACAUGUUUUCAAAAUUCAUUUAUGCUUUAUACUUAUAUUUUGAAAACACAUAUAUACAUAUAAUUUAAAUUAAAAUAUUUGUAUCAUAUUGUACAUUACCUUUUUAACGUACCCUUUUUGAAAAUAUGUUUUGGUUUUAACCAUACAUCAAAGUUAUUUUCUCGCUCCAAAGGUUUUUUUUUUUGAAUAAAAGCAAUGUUCGAAGCUUGAGAUUUUCGAGGGAAAUUGAGCCCUAACGUAUUGGGUUCAGAUUUUCUUUGUUAAUCUUAAAUAACCGAGGAUAUUCUUUAUUCAAAAUGCAUGAGCAUAAAAAUCAUUUUUGGGAACUUAACUUGUCGUGCCCUAACGUAUUGGGUGUGGCAUGUUACUUUCUCGAAAUAAAUAUUUUCGCAUGAAAUAAAAGUGAUAUUCAAAGUUCGGGGAUUAUGAGGAAUUGUACCCUAACGUAUUGGGACUCGAUUUCUUUACAUGACUUGAACAAUUUGUUAUCCUUUUACAAAUUUCAUCAUUCAAGCUUAUUUUAAAAUCUUUUUAACUUUCGACACUAAGACAUUAAAUGAUCAAUUUGGUACCGAUUUUGGGCGUCACGAGGGUGCUAACCCUUCCUCGUGCGUAACCGACUCCCGAACUCGUUUUCUCAAAAUUCGUAGACCAAAAUAAUUUUUAAGGUGACCCGAUCACACCUUAAUAAAAGAUCGGUGGCGACUCCAGUUUUGUUUUAAAAGUCGACAACUAAAAUUUUUGUUUUUCAAAAAACGGUUUCGACAGCUUGGCGACUCCACUGGGGACACUAAAGAGUCGAGCCAUAAAUUGGUUAUUUGUUCGUCUUGUGAUCGAAAAUCAAAUUUGGGUUUUAAAAUCAUGAUUUCCCUUCAUUUUUUUUACCAUGGAAUGUUGGUAACCUUGCAUUUGCAUUUUGCAUUUUACCCUUAAGUGGGAGCGAGAAACUAGUCCUUCGUGAGGUUUUCACCUCCGUGCAGGGUAAUGGACCGCUUCCGGGAUACAUCCGUACCUAUGUCUUCGUGAGAUUUUCAUCUCCGUGUAGCCAUAGGGAAAUGUGUCCCCCUGAACCGAACUCGAUCCACAUGAGCCUAUAAUGGGUGAGGAUCGAGGAAUCUGCUGGUCGGGUACCUUUACUCUAGAAACUAAACCUCAUAUAGUGAGCUUUAGGAACUUACCUUAGGUAGAAGUACUCUAAACCUUAGGAGAUACCUGACUAGGAGUUUUUAUUAUUUCUUGCUUAUAUUGGAUUUAAUGUUUAUACCCGAUACUAACUCGUUGCAUUUUGUUUUGAUUGCAUGACAUCAUGAUCGCAUUGCAUUUUCAUCAUAAAAGAGGUGUUGAUUCACGUUCGGUUGUUAAUAGAGAGCUUGUCAUAAGGAAAUGGGUUUCUUGAUAAAAUAGAAAAUAAUACGGUUGCCCGAAUAUGUUCCGAGAAAACACAACAAGAGAAAGAUGAUAGUUUAAUGGAGGACUACAUAACCAUUGCUUCGUUGCCCGAAGACUCAAGCUGAUGAAGGCUAUUCGAGAGCCGCUGAACUUUUUGUUUAAGGGAAGCCAACGAGCAUCACGACGAUAAAGGAGCAACGAAGAACAGUCCGGAUCAAGUAAAAUGGAGAUAGAAGAGACAUCUAUUUUGAAGAAUUCACAAGAUUUAUCUUAGCAUCCAGAUGAAGAAGGAGAAGAUGUCCUCGCUUGGAGCAUGAGGGCAAAGCCGUAUAUAUAUAUCUGCUUUAUGUAAAGAAAUUUAUCUUCUAGAAAAGUUUUCUAAAUAGAAUUGAAUCAGAAUCAACGUCUCUUUUUGCAUUCAUCAAAUGCAUUUGCAUUACAUAGCAUCAUAUGCAUUAAAAUCCAUUGAAAGAGCCUAAUUAAUUAAAAUUAUUGCUUAGUUAACCUGGAAACCAACCAACCAACCCGACACCGAUACGGCACUCGAGCAAAGACAAAAGAUAUGGAUCAGAGAUUAGAGAAGCUCGAACAGUACCAGAAGGAGAUGCAAGACCGGCUUCAGCUACAAAUGCAGGAACGGUUAGACAAGAUGAAACAGGAGAUGUCUGAGAAGAUGCGGAAUCUCAAGAGGACAUAGUGGCAAAGUUAACCCGAUUGAUAACUAAAGGAGGUGAUAAAGGAAAGGGCCCCAUGGCAGAUGUCGAUGAGGGAAAUGAUGAUGAACUUUUCUAUCCUCCAGGUUUCAUCCCUCCACAUGAGCGAACUCAAGCUGAAUACCCGUGCAAAUCUACUGUCACCAUCAUGCCUCAGCAAUUUCGAGCUGGUAUUUCGAACCACCAAACUGGGCCGAGCUUUAAUCCUGAAAAUAAUCCUAUUAACUCUGCCAUUCCUGACUUUGAUGAAGUGGUUGAGAAGGAAAGAAUGAAGGAAAAGUUACCGAAACAGUUGGAAGAAAGAUACAGGUGGCUCGAAGAGAAGUUCAAGGCGAUGGAAGUCACUGAAAGUUAUCGAGGCAUUGACGCAAAAAAGCUGAGUUUAGUGCCAAAUUUAGUACUCUCUCAUAAAUUUAAGAUGCCUGAAUUUGAAAAGUACAAUGGGACAAGCUGCCCAGCAGCUCACAUCACCAUGUUCUACAGGCAAAUGGCUGGAUACGUUAACAAUGACCAACUAUUGAUACACUGUUUCUAAGAUAGCCUAGCAGGGGCAGCAUCUAAGUGGUACAAUCAGUUGAGUCGUGCCACGGUUGGUUCAUGGAGGGACUUGGCGCAAGCAUUCAUGAAACAAUAUAGUCAUGUGACAGAUAUGGCUCCUGAUAGAAUCACCCUUCAGAAUAUGGAGAAGAAGCCGAGCGAAAGCUUUAGGCAGUAUGCACAGAGAUGGAGGAAGGUCGCAGUCCAAGUUCAGCCACCACUCUUGGAAACGGAAAUGGCCAUGCUAUUCAUUAACACCCUAAAAGCACCUUUCAUCACACAUAUGUUAGGAAGUGCCACAAAAAGCUUUCCUGACAUAGUCAUGAAUGGUGAAAUGAUUGAGAGCGCUAUAAGGAGCGGGAAAAUUGAGACAGAUGAGAGUAAUAAGAGGUCAAUCUCAAGAAGAAGAGAAAAUGAGGUGGACAACACGGGUUACUCUAAAUCAGUUACUGUGAGUCAAACAAGAAAGGUGGUUGGUAAUCAACAGAAUUCAUCGAGGCAAGAUUCCGGCAUAAAGACUGAGAGGCCCCAAUUCACGCCAAUUCUGGUACCGUAUAAGGAACUGUAUCAAAAUUUGUUUGAUGCACAUGUUGUUUCCCCUUUUCAUGUGAAGCCUCUACAACCGCCGUAUCCUGAAUGGUAUGAUACGAACACACAAUGUGAAUAUCAUGCGGGAAUUACGGGACACUCGAUUGAGAAUUGCACUGCCUUCAAGAAGCAAGUUGAAAGACUUAUCAACAUGGGUAUUGUCAAGUUUGGUGACUCGUCCAGCGCAGGAAAUCCGCUACCCAAUCAUGAUUGAGGAUGGAGGGACUGCAAUAUAUGAAGAAGUGGUGAGAAAUUUGCACAUCGAUGCGGACACAAUUAAAAGGGUCCUUGUUAGAUAUUCGCCUUAGAGGUGUUCUAAAUAAUGGGACUGCAAAGGAAACCCCUAAAAUAUUUAGAGUCUGUUAGAGUAAUGUUAAGAACACACUUGUUGCUUUCAGCCUAGAAGCAAUAGGAGUUUCUUUGUGAAAUAGGCUCACGUCUGAACAUUAUUAUUUUAAUGAAAUACAUUAUUGCAAUCAUCUUUGAGCAAAUGUUCUUUCAUUCUUUACGAUUUCUUUAUUUUUUUUCCUUUCAGAUUUUUUCUGCCAAAUUAUUCGUUCAUUCGUUCAUAUUAUUCAUACAUUCUUUUGUAUAUUCUUUGGUACCCACUAUGGGUCCCCAAAUAUCAAUGACAUGAGUGACGCUGCUACAGACUCAAAUCGCCUUUUGAGUGAGACAUGUGUUUAGAGGGAUCUCAUGGCUUUGAAGAUGUCAUAAAUUGCAGCUUAUCUCCUAACUUGUUGAGGAUGGUAAAGCAAUAAGAGAAACAAAUGAGACAGCAGAGACUACGACCUUGAGAAAACAUGCAUGACCGAAGAAUAAAGCAAGACGUUGCUGAGUUACUUCAAGCAUCCAAAGAUGCCUUCGCAGGGUCAUACCAGAAUGUGCCCGGUUUAAGCGAGGUCAUUACAAUCUGAACAACAGCACGAUAUCAAAAGUUUGCAACAUGUUCAAGGUGAAUAUCAUGAAUGGUGCAAUGAAAACUCUACCGGGGCAAUGCCACUCUUUCCAGUUUAUCACGUUUUUUCAUUGAAGUUGAAAUUCUUUCUAUUCGAGUUUUGGCUGAGCUAAGGUAGGAUGAAGAUCCAAUCCCGAUACGAUUAGUUGAACUUAGUUGAAGAAAAAGGCUAGAAACUAUUCAUCAGGCUCAGAUGCACCAAGAAAUGAAUGAUGCGAGCCUAUAGCAAAAGGUUUGUCCCAGAGAAUUCCACGAUGGCAACCUAAUGCUAAAGAAGAUCCUCACUCUACAAAAAAAUAUAACGGAUGCCAAAUUGGGAAAAAAAUUAUGUUAUAGAGAAGGUCUUUUCCAAAGGAGUUUUGAUUUUGGGCGAGAUGGAUGAUAAACCUGCAAAGUCCUGUAAACUCAGGUUCAGUCAGGAAAUACUCCGCUUAAAGAAUGAGAUGACCAAGGUGAAAACCCACAAAGGGUGCUUUGAGUCCAAAAAAAUAAAAAUAAAAAAAGAGAAAAAGAGGAAAAUGGAGAGGCUAAGGUGAAAACCCGUAAAGGGCGCCUUAGACCAAAGGGGAUUUGAGUUGAAAACCCGAAAAGGGCGGCUCAAAUAUUGAUUAGAAUGGGGCACGAGAUUAUCGGAGUAGCUCAAAUACUGAUCAGAAUGGGGCAUGCAAUGGUCUUGCUAUACCUAAAUCAACAAGAAAUGGUAGGCGACAUCUUGGGGCAUCGACAAAGUAUUCCUAAACGCAUGUCAAACUCAGAAUGAUCUUCAGAAAGUCUGUACAGCAAAGUUCAAGCUGCGAUAUUUGGGGCACCUAAUUCUUAUAUUAUUUUUUGUUAUUCUUGGAACACUUCAUUCAUUUCCAAAAUACGCAUUCCUAAAUCAAUUUCUUUAUUAUCCAUCUUUAUUAUAUUUGACAAUUUAUUCAUUUCGAGCUUUGCUCAGAACCAACUCUAUUCUUAUCCAUGGUCUUUUUGCAAGCAUGUUUCAUUAGAAUAAUGAUUCAUAGACUAAUAAAACUUUCACAAGGGAAGUUUUGCAUAUUACUCUAGAAGUUUCUAAAUAAUAUAGGAUCCUCAAACAGGACUAUUGUUUAGAAUGCACUAGGUUGGAAAUCUGAUAAGGAAAAGUCUAAAUUAAGACUAUCCCUUUGAAUUUUCUUGUCUAAAGUAUUAAUUGAACAAAAUGGCAAGAUGUCGUGUUGGUGACAAAGCUUCAAUGAACAAGCAAGCAAUGAUCACCGGAUAAUAAUAAGAAGUUGUUCUUGGAGAAGAUUACUUUAUUUGUGCAUGAGCAUUUGGUACAACACCCUGGGAAUGGUGUAAGAGACCAAAGAGUUUCACAUCCUUGAAUUGUGAUAGUGGAGGAUUAAGAAAAGGCCAAAACUUUUUACUCUCGGGUUACAACGGGAGGAAGAUGGUACAAAUUUUCGCAUACCAUUGAAUCAAACUUGGAGGUUUACAGUGGGGGCAACCUGGUCAAGUGUUUCUUUGGAGACGCCAGCCGAGCAAAAGGUGCUAUAGCACAUUAGCGAUGAAACUUUAAAUAAACUUUGAGUAAUGAUAACCUAAGUGAAAAUGAGGGAUCAUUCUCGAAAAAAUGACAUUCUGCAUUCAUUCAAAUGUCAUUCAUACACGCCUAGUUAGGAGCAUUUGAUUCAUUUGAUCAUGACAUCCUAAUCAUUAGGCAUAGUUAGGUUCAUAAAGUGAAUUAUACAGGUCAUGUUCCCUAGAGAACAGAUCGGUGAAAUCAUAAAGCCUUAUCUCCCUGAACAAUAGUGGAGCAGGUUGAAAAGCAGCAGGUCUUGUCUUCCUAUAUUGGUAGCGAAGUGGAUCGAAUAUACAGAUCUCGCCUUCCCAUACUGGUGGCGAAGCAGAUCGAAGGAAAAAACAGAUCUUGUCUUAUGGCGUGAAGUAGAUCAAAGAUAACAGAUCUCGCCUUCCCAUACUGGUGGCGAAGCAGAUCGAAGGAAUACAGAUCUUGUCUUCAUGUACUAGCGUGAAGUAGAUCGAAUAUACAGAGCUCGCCUUCUCAUACUGGUGGCGAAGCAGAUCGAAAGAAAGUAGAUAUUGUCUUCAUGUAUCAGCGUGAAGUAGAUCAAAGUCAACAGAUCUUGUCUCCCCAUACUGGUGGUGGAGUAGAUCAAAGAAAGUAGAUCUUGUCUUCAUGUAUCGGCAUGAAGUAGAUCAAAGUCAACAGAUCUUGUCUCCCUAUACUGGUGGUGGAGUAGAUCAAAGAAAGCAGAUCUUGUCUUCAUGUACUGCAUGAAGUAGAUCAAAGAAACAAAUAUUGUCUCCCCAUACUGGUGGUGGAGUAGGUCGAAGAAAACAGAUCGUGUCUUCAUGUACUGGCGUGAAGUAGAUCAAAGAUAGUAGGUCCCGUCUUCCUAUAUUGGUAGCGAAGUGGAUCGAAUAUACAUCUUCCCAUACCGGUGGCAAAGUAGAUUGAAGAUUACAGAUUUUGCCUCCCUAAGCAGUAGUGGAGCAGAUCGAAGAUGGCGGAUUUUACCUCCCUGAAGUUGCAGUGGAGUAUAUUGAAGCCAGUAAUUCUACCUCCCCGGUCGGCAGUGGAAUCGAUUGAAAAAGCAGAUCUUGUCUUCAUGUAUUGGCGUGAAGUAGAUCGAAGAAAGUAGAUCGAAGAAAGCAUAUCUUGUCUUCCCAUACUGGUGGUGAAGUAGAUCGAAGAUACAAGUCUUAUCUCCCUGAAGUUGCAGUGGAGCAGACUGAAGUAACCAAUCCUAUCUCAUUGAAGUUGCAAUGGAGUUGAUUAAAACCGCAGAUCUCAUCUCUCUGAAGUUGCAGUGGAGCAGAUCGCGCCAGAUUUAUCUUUAAGUUGCAGCAGACCAAAUUGAAACUAUAAGUCUUGUCUCCCUGAAGUUGUAGUGGAGCAGAUUAAAGAUAGCAAAUUUAGUUCUUUUGAGAAGCUACAAUGUAUGAAUCCUAUCUCUUCGACAUUACAGUAGGAGUGGAUUGAAGCACCAGUUCCUAUACCUCUGGAGAUGUAGUGGGAAGGAACGAGGCUACUAACGCUAAGGUCCAUAUGGCCGGGCAAAAAUUGGUCUUUUUAAGUCAUUGCUCUAUUCUCGUCACACGAUAACGAGCAAAGAGGGGCAGCUGUAAUACCAAUUUUUUCUGCCCGGGCCUAUACAAAAUAAAAUACAGCAGGCCCAUCUACAGACCAAACCCAUAUUCAAAAAAAACCUAGCCUAAGAAGCAGCAAGCUUCAGCCGCAUGCCCAACAGCAGCCUCCCUAACUGCCGUCGCAUCCUCCGCGCACGUACACCUCUUCCACGGCCUCCAUACCUACGAGAAAAGCGGAUCCAAACAGCAAUAGACGCAACAAAUAAUGAAAUAGGAUUUUUUACUUUUAUUUUGCUGUAAUUUUGGCUAUAAAAAGCCAUCAAAAAUCUGUAAAAUGGGGGGAACCAAUAUUGUAUUGAGAGAAUACUGAAAUACAAAAAUAGGGAGAAAAUAUUGAGAUUACAAAGAGAUUUUUGAAGGUGAAUCGUGUUUAUUUUUUUCCAUUUUUUCCAUUCUUUUUUAUUUUAUUUUUUAUUUAUUUUUAAUUUAAAAUAUAAAGAAGGGAGGAAGGACUUACCUCUCUCGCCGGAUUCGUCGAGUCGGCGCUAUCUCCGUCACAGUCGGAGCCUUGGCGCGAGGCUGAGCGACGGCGUUCGAGGGUUGAGGAAACCCUAAAAGGGUCUGGUUUCUCCUCUGGAAAGGGAAACCCAAAAGAACAAAUAAAUG
RNAcentral lists this long non-coding RNA (8917 nucleotides) under Gossypium barbadense (sea-island cotton). Its description in RNAcentral is "long non-coding RNA (GBAR_LNC020369)". Lineage: Eukaryota; Viridiplantae; Streptophyta; Magnoliopsida; Malvales; Malvaceae. The record is from RNAcentral.